RNAcentral lists this transfer RNA (74 nucleotides) under Streptomyces phage TunaTartare. RNAcentral describes it as "tRNA-Ala". It matches the Rfam family "tRNA". From Rfam's summary of the family: Transfer RNA (tRNA) molecules are approximately 80 nucleotides in length. Their secondary structure includes four short double-helical elements and three loops (D, anti-codon, and T loops). RNAcentral also lists the same sequence under 1 other name. Lineage: Duplodnaviria; Heunggongvirae; Uroviricota; Caudoviricetes; Stanwilliamsviridae. The record is from RNAcentral.
GGGGGCUUAGCUCACUUGGUAGAGCGCUUGCCUUGCAAGCAAGAGGUAGCGGGUUCGAUUCCCGCAGUCUCCAC